AAGCUUAGUUCAUGAUGAAUUAUUUAACCGAUAAUUAAAUAAUAGAGACUCAAACCCUCUUAAGCUUU
Molecule: transfer RNA, 68 nt
Filed under: Ocnus glacialis
Lineage: Eukaryota; Metazoa; Echinodermata; Holothuroidea; Dendrochirotida; Cucumariidae
Description: tRNA-Ile
Source: RNAcentral